AUUGAACGCUGGCGGCAGGCCUAACACAUGCAAGUCGAGCGCGAAAGUUCUUCGGAAUGAGUAAAGCGGCGGACGGGUGAGUAAUACAUGGGAAUCUGCCUGGUAGGUGGGGGACAACGUUUCGAAAGGAACGCUAAUACCGCAUACGCCCUACGGGGGGAAAGGGGGGGAUCUUCGGACCUCUCGCUAUCAGAUGAGCC
This 200-nucleotide ribosomal RNA is filed under the name uncultured bacterium. Its description in RNAcentral is "partial 16S ribosomal RNA". It matches the Rfam family "Bacterial small subunit ribosomal RNA", at positions 30 to 231 of the family's 1533-position model. The record is from RNAcentral.